This is a long non-coding RNA of Oxyura jamaicensis (ruddy duck), 4719 nucleotides long. RefSeq lists it as uncharacterized. The record is from RefSeq and is a predicted model, not a curated record. NCBI's taxonomy places the organism in Eukaryota, Metazoa, Chordata, Aves, Anseriformes, Anatidae. The transcript has 2 exons.
UGACUUUUCCAUCCAUUCUGCAGAAGGGUGAACGUGUAUACAUAUAGUGAAUGGUCCCUGGGGCUGGGCCUAACUUUGGGUGAAAAUGGAGUGUUCAGUAAGUCAAUGGCAUUAUUGUGUCAGAAAUGGGGAAAAAGAAAUACAGAAUGAAAUGUGCUCCAUCAGUGAGAUGGUGAAGGUGGGGAAGGAAGAGAUGGGGGGAAACUGUUGUUCUUCUUGUGGUGCCAGUCCUCACCUCCAUUUUCUCCCUGAUUUUAGUUUGAUUUCCCUGACUUGUUUUUCCUGACAUCUCUUUUCCAUUCUCUUUUCAUCUGUUCUGUUAGGGCUAUUGUAUUCCAUUUCCACAUGUGUACACUAUCCCUUCGUUUCCACAGAGACCUGAAAUGGCUGUGAAAUUAUACUCACAGUGUUCCCCAGAGGGCUGUUUCCUUAUAGAAAUUCAGAUCUCUAAGUCCUCAAAGACAGAACUAUCCACCCAGAGCAUCCUGGUUUCCUCCACACCUUGCCCCGAAUUCUGCACAAGAGCACAGUCAAGAAAUUGGUGGUACUAAGUUUCCCUGUGCCUUCAGCCAGCUGGUCCUGUGUGAGCCCAACAUGGUAUAGGAGACACUCUGGAGGAGGAGAAGUGACAGACCAGCACUAACUUGCCAAAUUUGAAAUAAUCCCUAGGCCGUGUACUUUUCUCCUCAGUCACCUGCCCUACAUUGCAGCAUCUGUCCCAGGGACUUUUUCAGCAGUCAGAUACAGACAGUAUUCACACAUAGAAGCUUUCCCCCACACAGCCUGGUUUUUCAGGGUCCUUUUCCUCUAUAUGGAGAUGUGGAAUGGCCACUGUGUUCCUUUACAACGCUGAUCCCAUCCUUUUCCCUCUGUUUUUCUGUCUUUCUCUGCCCUUCUUUCCCUCAUUCCUUCUUUUAUAUUAAACUGUUUUUCAUUACUGUGUUUUACUCACCCUGGUGAGUAGGAAGAAUAUCCUAAGUAUUGCAUUUGAAAAUUCUCUUACCCCACAGAGUAACUGACUCAUUUUCAUCAUGAGAGUGCCCUUCCCAAACUGCUCUCAUUCCCUACUGAUCGUUCUGGAUUUGUCACCCAGAAGUUUUCAAUUCUGGGUUGGUUUUGGUCUGCAUAUGGGUUUGCAGUUUACAUUUCUUUAUUUUUAUCUGGAGUUUUUGUUACCACAUGACAUUAUUUUUUUCUUUUUGCCACUUCCAAAACUUCACUUUAUUUUCCUCUUCUGAAGUGUUCUUUUUUCUCUCUUCAAAAUGAAUUUUGCCAUAUUUGUCAUCGAUCUAGACACCCUUCUUAUUUUCACAAACUCUACUGAGGUAUAAGAGAAAGAGACUUGUUCCUCCUUUCCCUCACCUUUAUGUAAAGAAUGGAUCCUCGUAUGAUGUAAAACUCACCUUGUGCAAUUAGAUCAGUGACACCACACCAAAUGGCUGCGGAGCUGCUUCCCAGUUGUAGACACAUACAUUUCGGUGUGGGCAGUGCUGCUCAGUCACCUAGUAAGUAUCUGCUGGAAUAACGUAUGAGCAUGACCUGCUCAUAGCUCACGAUGCUCCUUCAUCGGCUAAUCACAAGUGUGUAGUGCUGCACUGUAGUCUACUGCAAAAGCGUCAAAAGGCAAGUUAUUUAUGAACCAGUGCUAGACCUGCCUUCAAUUAGUCGAAAAAUAUGUUUCUGCAAGGAACUGGCAAAGCCAGCUGCAUUUGUUAUUUUUAGUUUUGCUUUGUGACUUUAUUACAAAGUUGAAAUAAUCCUUGACUGAAUAGGUUAACGCUGACAGUUGCAGUUCUCUUGGGGCGCUGAAUAUAUUGUGCCUACGGUGUUAACUUGUGAUUCUACAUGUGGUUUUAAUUGCAAGCAUUGGUCAAAUGAAAAGUAUAUCUUAUUUUAAUCUGGUUUCGAUUAACUACCCCAGUAUUGAGAGAGGAUAGCAAGCUUAAAAAAUUAUUGCUCUUAUUAAAUAGAGAUAUUUUACUGCCUCUUUGUCUCAGUAAUGGAGAUAAUACACAUUUAGAGAUAGAUAAUGUAUAUGGUAUAUUGCAAAAGACAAUAUAUCUUAUGCAACUUGAUAUUUAGUCUGUUUAUUGUGAUCGUCCAGCAUUUCAAUAAAUGUCAGUGUAAUGGAUGAGUGCCCGUAACAACAGCCACUUCUGGUUGAAUUUCUUUGUUGUGGAAGUAUCCCAAAUAAUAUCUCUCUGAACAAAGUGACAUUCACAGCUAUCUUGCGUACUUAUCCUCAGCACAAACAAAAGGCUAUGUCUUUUCUACCAACUAGUGAAAUAAUUUUUCAUGGUAGAAAUGAGUAUGAUGUUUUGAUUCAUAUUUUUUCUCACAGAUAAAUGCAGAUUUAACCCAAGUUUGGGGGAUUUUUGUCAGAUUGGUUUUGAUCACAUACAAGAAUUACCAUAAAACAGAAUAUUAUAUUUGACAGCUUUAAGUAAAAUAUAUGUUUGGAUAAAAAUCACAUCCCUUUUGUAAAUUUUGUCAAUUUUGUACCUUGUGUUUAUUUUUGCUACUUGGGAUGUUCAGCUAUUGAGUAGGAAAAAAAAAGUUGAAAGAUCUCAUUAGAAAGACUACAAGUCAAGUCGUAUAGGGUUUAUAGAUUUUUCUGCUAAAUCAAGUAUUUAUUUAUGCCUAAAUCCAUAUUGCUUCUACUAUUGACGGAAGGAGGGAUGUUACGUGUGAGCAAUUUUAUUUGUUUUGCUGGAAGAGUAAACCAGAAUUCAUUUGGAGUCAACCCAAACAAUAUUUUUUCAUUACUUCAAUUCUCAUGUCAGCCUGCAACUCAAAAGCUCAUAUCUAUUGAAAGAGAUCAAAAAUAAUAUAUCCAAAAGCUGCCCCUCCAAGAAAAUCAAAAUGAGGGGAAAGGAUAUUCUAAAAAUAACCUGUAGACAGAAUACCUUUUAUUUUGUAAGAUUGACUUUAAGGAAAGUUCUGAUCCUCCACAGCACUCAUUCAGGUAUUUAACUCAGUUAUUUACAAAUAUUCACAUACUUUAAACUUCAGACCCACUUCAGUAUUUCACUGGCUCAAGACUCAAGAUGUAGAGAGUUUUAUUAUUUGGGUCUAAUCUUCUCAUACAUGAUGUAGCGUAUUAGGAGUUCUUCAGUAAAGCUUUAAUAAUUGUAUUGAUUCUUAGCAAAUCUGUAGUUGCAGAGACUUGAAAAAUGAAGGUAACCAUUACUGUUUAAAAAAAUUGUCCCAUAUUGUAUUAGGUGAUAUGUGCAUUUCACUAUAGGGGAACAUAAAAAAGAAAGGGAAAAUAUUUUCCCUGAGCCCAAAUGAGUUUCUUCCCUCUAUAAUUAUCACCACCCCAGCAACAUGAGCAUUGAAACUCCACUUGAAACUGUAGAAUAGUGAUGCUCACGAUUACUGAAAUGUAGAUGAAGAAAACCACCUGUCUCAAUUAAUUCACAGUUUUAUUUUAAGAGCUGAUUUUUUCUUUUUUUUUCCCUUGAAAUUUAUGUUUACUGUGCACAAUUGUGAUGUGGCAAGUAGACUGUAUUGCACUCUGCAUUGUGUUUAAUUAUAAAGCCUAACAACUGUGACUUAAUAACACAGAUCACAAACGAGUGUGGAAACCAUAGUUCUUCACCACGGCAAGAGGCAAUGUUUUGCACUAUUCAGUGUAAUUAAAGAUUAAGCGUGGUGAAGCUAUAGAACUGAAUCAACAGUCAUUUGUAAUAUAUACCAAUUAUCGUCAUAGGGGAUUAUUUUCUUUCUGCUGGGUGAUCUGAUUGUUGUGUAUUAGCCAUCAGUUGAGAGCUAUUCAUCCUGAGAUGUUUAUUGCUAGGACGCUCUUCAAGCAAAGCAUUUAAACAGUGGCAAAAACAUUACAGCAAAACAUUCACCAGUGAAGGUAACUCUUGGGCAGCACUGCUGAACGGGGACUGGUUUUUAUCUCAGAAAGUAUUGGUCCAGUUCUUACCCACACAAAUGCUGCUUUGCACCAUUUGGUCUAGAAAUGAGAGUGCUUUACAACAAAAAAAAAGUACACAAGGUACAGGUUACCCAAACUGUUAGGAAAUCACCCUUAACCCCAUUUGGGGGAUGUUCCCUACUAAAAAGAGCCCCAGGAGCAAAAGGAGCAUGGGCACAGUGAAACAUUGUAAAGCAACAGCUGUCCAUACACUGGUGGCAAGUACCCCUGCCCAGCAUUUUUAAACAAAGAACAAAGUUUCCUGAUUGCUAGGGUUUGUGUGUGCAGUGAUGGCGCAGGAUUCUUCUUUCCCCACUCCCUGUUUUCACCCUUUUUGCAGGGUUGUUUUUCUAGUAAAAUGGCACAAAGGCAAGUUAAGGUAUAUACAGCUUUGUCACACUUGGGAGGGAGAUUAAAAAAAAAAAAAAAAAAAACAGGAAUUCUCAGUGGUAACAUAGAAAUGAGUUAUUUGCCUGACUCCAAGGAGCAUUUUCUGCUGAUUUCAGUGAGGAGAGGUUUAGGCAAGAACAGGGCAACUGUGAAAAAACAUGCAUUUCACUUUGAAGAAUUAAAAUAAAUGUGUUCUGUUGCUGUGUAACACCUGGGAACAGUUGUUGUGCUGUCACACAAAGUAUGGGUUCUGCUUUGCCAGUUUGUUUAUGCAGAAAUGUUCCGGACUUCUGCCUACUCAAAUAUUUUGGUAUAAAUGUCUCACUCUGGAAAUCCUGGUUCAUUUUUUUCAUUGCUAAUCACAUAUGUGACUCAAAGUACCAAAAUACAAAAGACAAAAAUAA